Molecule: ribosomal RNA, 468 nt
Filed under: uncultured bacterium
Lineage: Bacteria
Description: partial 16S ribosomal RNA
Rfam family: Bacterial small subunit ribosomal RNA
Source: RNAcentral
GACGAACGCUGGCGGCGUGCUUAACACAUGCAAGUCGAACGGAAAGGCCCUGCUUUUGUGGGGUGCUCGAGUGGCGAACGGGUGAGUAACACGUGAGUAACCUGCCCUUGACUUUGGGAUAACUUCAGGAAACUGGGGCUAAUACCGGAUAGGAGCUCCUGCUGCAUGGUGGGGGUUGGAAAGUUUCGGCGGUUGGGGAUGGACUGGCGGCUUAUCAGCUUGUUGGUGGGGUAGUGGCUUACCAAGGCUUUGGCGGGUAGCCGGCCUGAGAGGGUGACCGGCCACAUGGGGACUGAGAUACGGCCCAGACUCCUACGGGAGGCAGCAGUGGGGAAUAUUGCACAAUGGGCGGAAGCCUGAUGCAGCAACGCUGCGUGCGGGAUGACGGCCUUCGGGUUGUAAACCGCUUUCGCCUGUGACGAAGCGUGAGUGACGGUAAUGGGUAAAGAAGCACCGGCUAACUACGUG